RNAcentral lists this ribosomal RNA (253 nucleotides) under uncultured bacterium. RNAcentral's name for it is "partial 16S ribosomal RNA". It matches the Rfam family "Bacterial small subunit ribosomal RNA", at positions 524 to 776 of the family's 1533-position model. The record is from RNAcentral.
GACGUAGGGCGCGAGCGUUGUCCGGAUUUAUUGGGCGUAAAGAGCUCGUAGGCGGCUUGUUGCGUCGACCGUGAGAACCCGGGGCUCAACUUCGGGCUUGCGGUCGAUACGGGCGGGCUAGAGUUCGGUAGGGGAGACUGGAAUUCCUGGUGUAGCGGUGAAAUGCGCAGAUAUCAAGAGGAACACCGGUGGCGAAGGCGGGUCUCUGGGCCGAUACUGACGCUGAGGAGCGAAAGCGUGGGGAGCGAACAGG